This is a long non-coding RNA of Episyrphus balteatus (marmalade hoverfly), 401 nucleotides long. RefSeq lists it as uncharacterized. Lineage: Eukaryota; Metazoa; Arthropoda; Insecta; Diptera; Syrphidae. The record is from RefSeq and is a predicted model, not a curated record. The transcript has 2 exons.
CUUUGUCCAUCGUCUCAAAAGUUGGCAAAAAACAUCAGUUUUAUGGAUUUCCUUUUAAAAGAGUAUCCAAAAUAGCCAAAUUUGAUAAUGAUACAGUUGAACAUCUUAUACAAUUUAGUGAACUACUUAAUAUGGGAUUUGAUGAAUCAAAAAUUCCGAAGCCCUUGUCAAGUUCAAUAAGAACAAAGUUAGAGCUUGACUUCCUUAUUGUUAUUUAUAGCUUGUUUUUAAUACAAUGUAUAGUAGGCCUUACCCAUAAAUAUUUGUAAACAAGUUUCUUUCCAUACCAACUUGGUAGCUACAUAUAUGUACAAAGCAAAAAUGCAAUAGAAAAACACUUUAUAAUGAAAUGUAUCUAUUAAUUUAUUAUUAUUGAGAAAAAUAAAUACUUAGCAUUACAA